RNAcentral lists this microRNA precursor (58 nucleotides) under Lingula anatina. RNAcentral's name for it is "Lan-Mir-10-P4d_pre stem-loop". The record is from RNAcentral. Lineage: Eukaryota; Metazoa; Brachiopoda; Lingulata; Lingulida; Lingulidae.
ACCCUGUAGUUUCGGGUUUGUGUUUACAUUGGGGUACAGAAGCUCGAUUCUACAGGUU